Molecule: long non-coding RNA, 2042 nt
Organism: Oncorhynchus keta (chum salmon)
Lineage: Eukaryota; Metazoa; Chordata; Actinopteri; Salmoniformes; Salmonidae
Exons: 4
Source: RefSeq, a predicted model, not a curated record
GAGGUCUCCAUCCAUGUCUGACUAGAACACAGCUCUGUCUCCUGGUUGGUCCUUCAGUAACAGCCCUGCUAGUGGACCUCUGUGAGGUCUCCAUCCAUGUCUGACUAGAAUACAGCUCUGUCUCCUGGUUGGUCCUUCAGUAACAGCCCUGCUAGUGGACGCUCUGUGAGGUCUCCAUCCAUGUCUGACUAGAACACAGCUCUGUCUCCUGAUUGGUCCUUGAGUAACAGCCCUGCUAGUGGAGGCUCUGUGAGGUCUCCAUCCAUGUCUGACUAGAACACAGCUCUGCCUCCUGAUUGGUCCUUCAGUAACAGCCCUGCUAGUGGAGGCUCUGUGAGGUCUCCAUCCAUGUCUGACUAGAACACAGCUCUGCCUCCUGGUUGGUCCUUCAGUAACAGCCCUGCUAGUGGAGGCUCUGUGAGGUCUCCAUCCAUGUCUGACUGAGCUGUGAAACAUCAUCCUCAAGACUAGACUCCAACUGUCAGUGGUUCAACUCCUCUGAAUAGACCUUACUGGUUUUCUGCGUGUCAACUAGCCUGGAAUCCACACUAAAUAUUGCUUGUUUCAGAGCUAAGUUUAGUUUGAAUUUGGAAAAUGGAGCAAUAUUCAGUGUGGAUCCAGGGCUGGCCCUGCAGUCAGUGUAGGAAUGUGUGUAGCCUAACCAACAUUCUGUGACGUCUUCAUUAACCACACAGAGAGGCAGACCUGUGGGCCUCUCCAGAAAGGGAGCCCUUUGGUUUUAAAAGCAUCCCAGUAAUCACCUUAACCACACACAUACACACACACACACUUCUGGCUGUGCCCGAGCCUGUCUGUCUCCUACCAUCAUCAACAACAUUUUCAGUUAGUUAGUGGCUGUGCGUCCUCACAAGGGAACCUCUUCAGCCUGUUGAACCCGGUCUCACAGACUGCCACUAGACUUUCCCCCACGUUGCCCUGGACAUGGACUUACAGGUUUACUUUAACCCUGCAAUUAAACUAAGAGGAGAAAUUCCACUCUCGUUCAGAGACCCAAUCAAUUCAAAGGUGCCAGAAUCAAGAUGUUUUUAUUUUUUUUAAAUAUUUUUUUUUAUUUCACCUUUAUUUAACCAGGUAGGCUAGUUGAGAACCCCUUUAUUUAACCAGGUAGGCUAGUUGAGAACACCUUUAUUUAACCAGGUAGGCUAGUUGAGAACCCCUUUAUUUAACCAGGUAGGCUAGUUGAGAACCCCUUUAUUUAACCAGGUAGGCUAGUUGAGAACCCCUUUAUUUAACCAGGUAGGCUAGUUGAGAACACCUUUAUUUAACCAGGUAGGCUAGUUGAGAACCCCUUUAUUUAACCAGGUAGGCUAGUUGAGAACCCCUUUAUUUAACCAGGUAGGCUAGUUGAGAACAAGUUCUCAUUUGCAACUGCGACCUGGCCAAGAUAAAGCAUAGCAGUGAACAAUUAACAAGUCAAUAACGCAGUAGAAAAAAAGAGAGUCUGAGAUGUUUCUAAACGUGUAGGAUGUAGAAUGUAUAGUAAAAUGUAAAUGGUCUCUAAUUAGGCGGACCUGCAGUAGACCAUGAGAUGUUUUGCGUUCUAAACCGCACCCUAUUCGUUAUAUAGUACACUACGUUUGACCAGGGCCCAUACGGCUCUGGUCAAAAGUAGUGCGUUUUUAUUGGGAAUAGGGUGCCAUUUUGGAUGUAGCCGUGACUAAUAGCCUAAUUGCUGCCCUGUAUGACAUCACCAUACUGAAGAGUCAUUGGGUUGUUCUAUACCUGUUUCUAUUGCAUUCAUAUGGCACUGUUUCUAACCAUGCAUGUUUUAACUGUUAAAGUCAUUAGAUUGUGUCCUUCUUGUCCCUCACCCAAUCAGUAACGAGAUUGUGGGUGGUCUCCUUGUCUCUUACCCAAUCAGUAACUAGAUUGUGGAUGGUCUCCUUGUCCCUCACCCAAUCAGUCAGUAACUGUUCUGUUCUUUAUUCAUUAUGUACUCCAGUUGUGUUGAAACCUUUUCUUCUAGGUUGGACAUGACUACAUUAUCAUAAAGAUGUUGGAAAAUAAACCUUCUGAAGUCA